RNAcentral lists this ribosomal RNA (660 nucleotides) under uncultured Photobacterium sp. Its description in RNAcentral is "bacterial SSU rRNA". It matches the Rfam family "Bacterial small subunit ribosomal RNA", at positions 56 to 696 of the family's 1533-position model. Lineage: Bacteria; Pseudomonadati; Pseudomonadota; Gammaproteobacteria; Vibrionales; Vibrionaceae. The record is from RNAcentral.
UGCAGUCGAGCGGCAGCGACUUAACUGAACCUUUGGGGAACGUUAAGGGCGGCGAGCGGCGGACGGGUGAGUAAUGCCUGGGAAUAUGCCCUGAUGUGGGGGAUAACUAUUGGAAACGAUAGCUAAUACCGCAUAAUCUCUUCGGAGCAAAGAGGGGGACCUUCGGGCCUCUCGCGUCAGGAUUAGCCCAGGUGGGAUUAGCUUGUUGGUGAGGUAAUGGCUCACCAAGGCAACGAUCCCUAGCUGGUCUGAGAGGAUGAUCAGCCACACUGGAACUGAGACACGGUCCAGACUCCUACGGGAGGCAGCAGUGGGGAAUAUUGCACAAUGGGGGAAACCCUGAUGCAGCCAUGCCGCGUGUGUGAAGAAGGCCUUCGGGUUGUAAAGCACUUUCAGUAGGGAGGAAGGUAGUGUAGUUAACACCUGCAUUAUUUGACGUUACCUACAGAAGAAGCACCGGCUAACUCCGUGCCAGCAGCCGCGGUAAUACGGAGGGUGCGAGCGUUAAUCGGAAUUACUGGGCGUAAAGCGCUUGCAGGCGGCCUGUUAAGUCAGAUGUGAAAGCCCGGGGCUUAACCUCGGAAUUGCAUUUGAAACUGGCAGGCUAGAGUCUUGUAGAGGGGGGUAGAAUUUCAGGUGUAGCGGUGAAAUGCGUAGAGA